Molecule: non-coding RNA, 242 nt
Organism: Pelobates cultripes (western spadefoot toad)
Lineage: Eukaryota; Metazoa; Chordata; Amphibia; Anura; Pelobatidae
Source: the annotation of a GenBank genome assembly
UCAUAAUCGGACUUGGCACUGUUGUGCAUUGGUUCCUUUCAUGUUAUAACGGAGUACCCAUCUCCCACGGAGUUCCAGUUCAUCUACCCAAAGACUUGCUGUUUCGGUUCCACAUUGACCAUAGGUUUCUUGAACUGAGUUUUUCGUCGGCAUCAACAAAAAAGAGGAGUGGCUUAGGUCACAUGGGGGUUUAUGAUAUAGAGAGCAUUCUUAUUGGAUGUAUUAUGUGUUAACCCUUUGAU